Molecule: small nuclear RNA, 88 nt
Filed under: Brassica rapa (field mustard)
Lineage: Eukaryota; Viridiplantae; Streptophyta; Magnoliopsida; Brassicales; Brassicaceae
Source: RNAcentral
UGUCCUUUCGGAACAUCCGAAUAAAAUUGAAACUAUACAGAGAAGAUUAGCAUGGAUGAAACCAGUGUUCUUCGAAUUUUCGUUUUCU